Molecule: non-coding RNA, 459 nt
Organism: Myodes glareolus (Bank vole)
Lineage: Eukaryota; Metazoa; Chordata; Mammalia; Rodentia; Cricetidae
Source: RefSeq, a predicted model, not a curated record
GAUGGUAUUGGAUCCCCAGAAACUGGAGUUUAAAAUGGUUGUGAGCUGCCAUGUUGGUGUUGAGACUCAAGCCCAGGUCUUCUGGAGGAGCAGCCAGGUGACUGAUGAGUCAUCUCUAGCCCCCGAUGACAAGAAUUUGGUCCCCAGAGUCCACAGAGAGCUGUCCUCUCAUCUCCAUCCAAAUGCCAUGUUGUAUGAGUGUUUUGUCUGCAUGUAAGUCUGUACCAUUUGCCUGUUUGAUGCUCAAGGAGGCCAGAGAAGGCAUCAGAUUCCCUGGAACUGGCAUUACACAUGGUCCAUAUGGGUGCUGGGAACCAAACCCAAGUCCUCUGCAAAAGCAGUAAGUGCUCUUAAACUGUUAAGCCAUCUUCCAGCUCCUAUCAGCCCUUUUUAAAACCAGUUUUCUCAUACAUGUAUAUAAAUAGGAUACUUACUAUUAAACUAUUAGAAUCUUGUAUA